RNAcentral lists this transfer RNA (70 nucleotides) under Amborella trichopoda. Its description in RNAcentral is "tRNA-Ser". It matches the Rfam family "tRNA". From Rfam's summary of the family: Transfer RNA (tRNA) molecules are approximately 80 nucleotides in length. Their secondary structure includes four short double-helical elements and three loops (D, anti-codon, and T loops). The record is from RNAcentral. Lineage: Eukaryota; Viridiplantae; Streptophyta; Magnoliopsida; Amborellales; Amborellaceae.
GUGAUAUAGUCGAAUGGUAAAAUUUCUCUUUGCUAAGGAGAAGAUGCGAGUUCGAUUCCUGCUAUCUGCC